RNAcentral lists this ribosomal RNA (434 nucleotides) under uncultured archaeon. Its description in RNAcentral is "bacterial SSU rRNA". It matches the Rfam family "Archaeal small subunit ribosomal RNA", at positions 19 to 458 of the family's 1478-position model. The record is from RNAcentral.
GGACCUGACUGCUAUCGGAUUGAUACUAAGCCAUGCGAGUCAUUGUAGCAAUACAAGGCAUACGGCUCAGUAACGCGUAGUCAACCUAACCUAUGGACGGGAAUAACCUCGGGAAACUGAGAAUAAUGCCCGAUAGAACAUUAUGCCUGGAAUGGUUUAUGUUCCAAAUGAUUUAUCGCCGUAGGAUGGGACUGCGGCCUAUCAGUUUGUUGGUGAGGUAAUGGCCCACCAAGACUAUUACGGGUACGGGCUCUGAGAGGAGUAGCCCGGAGAUGGGUACUGAGACACGGACCCAGGCCCUAUGGGGCGCAGCAGGCGAGAAAACUUUGCAAUGUGCGAAAGCACGACAAGGUUAAUCCGAGUGGUUUCUGCUAAAGAAACCUUUUGUCAGUCCUAGAAACACUGAUGAAUAAGGGGUGGGCAAGUUCUGGUGU